CAGAACGAACGCUGGCGGCAUGCCUAACACAUGCAAGUCGAACGAGACCUUCGGGUCUAGUGGCGCACGGGUGCGUAACGCGUGGGAAUCUGCCCUUUGCUUCGGAAUAACAGUUAGAAAUGACUGCUAAUACCGGAUGAUGUCUUCGGACCAAAGAUUUAUCGGCAAAGGAUGAGCCCGCGUAGGAUUAGGUAGUUGGUGGGGUAAAGGCCUACCAAGCCGACGAUCCUUAGCUGGUCUGAGAGGAUGAUCAGCCACACUGGGACUGAGACACGGCCCAGACUCCUACGGGAGGCAGCAGUGGGGAAUAUUGGACAAUGAGCGAAAGCCUGAUCCAGCAAUGCCGCGUGAGUGAUGAAGGCCUUCGGGUCGUAAAGCUCUUUUACCAGGGAUGAUAAUGACAGUACCUGGAGAAUAAGCUCCGGCUAACUCCGUG
This 436-nucleotide ribosomal RNA is filed under the name uncultured bacterium. RNAcentral's name for it is "bacterial SSU rRNA". It matches the Rfam family "Bacterial small subunit ribosomal RNA", at positions 25 to 507 of the family's 1533-position model. The record is from RNAcentral.